Molecule: ribosomal RNA, 468 nt
Filed under: Triticum aestivum (bread wheat)
Lineage: Eukaryota; Viridiplantae; Streptophyta; Magnoliopsida; Poales; Poaceae
Description: partial small subunit ribosomal RNA
Source: RNAcentral
AUGAGUCGACCACUCCAUCCUCCACAUCACUCUUUCUUCUCUUCCCCAAGAAGAAGGCUCCCUUCCACGGUUCGUUCUAUCUCUUCUCCACCGGCCACUCCAUCCUCCCUUCCCUCCCCAGGUCCCUACUUGUUGCACCAUGCCUUCCCCCACAUCCUAGGGCAGCAUAGACCUGACCUUGAAGAAGAAGUGGAGACAAGAAGAGGAGGAGAAGAAGAUCCUCACCUCCCUCCCCUGUCCGAUUCCCCUUGCUCAAGCCUCGAAGGGAAACAGAGCAAUAAUAAACCUGUCUGGAUGGUACCACGAUUCAAGAUGAGCUUGAUUCCGGCCAUUGUGGGUCAGGUCCUUCUCCUUGAGAGGCAGGAAGCUAGAACUGCGCAACAGGAGGUCUGCGUUGUGAUUCCAUGGUUCUUUCCCUCUGGCUGGAUGUGUUUCUCCCGCAAAAUAGUGUAUGCUAAAAUGAUGUGA